Molecule: ribosomal RNA, 466 nt
Filed under: uncultured bacterium
Lineage: Bacteria
Description: partial 16S ribosomal RNA
Rfam family: Bacterial small subunit ribosomal RNA
Source: RNAcentral
GACGAACGCUGGCGGUGUGCUUAACACAUGCAAGUCGAACGGUAAGGCCCUUUCGGGGGUACACGAGUGGCGAACGGGGGAGUAACACGUGAGUAACCUGCCCUCAUCUCUGGGAUAACAGUCGGAAACGGUUGCUAAUACUGGAUAUGAGCUUGCAAGGCAUCUUGUGGGUUGGAAAGAUUUUUUUGGGUGGGGGUUGACUCGGGGCCUAUCAGCUUGUUGGUGAGGUAGUGGCUCACCAAGGCUUCGACGGGUAGCCGGCCUGAGAGGGCGACCGGCCACAUUGGGACUGAGAUACGGCCCAAACUCCUACGGGAGGCAGCAGUGGGGAAUAUUGCACCAGGGACGGCAGUCUGAUGCAGCAACGCCGCGUGCGGGAUGACGGCCUUCGGGUUGUAAACCGCUUUCAAUUGUGACGAAGCUUUUUGUGACGGUAGCAGUAGAAGAAGCACCGGCUAACUACGUG